UCCCCGCGCCGGUGAGAAUGCCCUUAACAUCAGCUUAGAUCAAGAGGAGCAGGCAUUAAGCACACUAAUUAGCAGCUCAAGAUGCCUUGCUUAACCACACCCCCAAGGGAAACAGCAGUGAUAGAAAUUUAGCAAUGAACGCAAGUUUGACUAAGUUAUGCUACUCUAGGGUUGGUAAAUUUCGUGCCAGCCACCGCGGUCAUACGAUUAACCCAAACUAAUAAAUUUCCGGCGUAAAGCGUGAUUAGUAUCUAAACAAAAAUAAAAUCAAAUAACAACUAAGCUGUAAAAAGUAAUAGUUGCAAACAAAAAUAAACGACGAAAGUGAUUUUAUAACCUUCGAACUCACGAUAGCUAAGACCCAAACUGGGAUUAGAUACCCCACUAUGCUUAGCCUUAAACUUAAAUAAUUCCAUAACAAAAUUACUCGCCAGAGAACUACAAGCCAGAGCUUAAAACUCAAAGGACUUGGCGGUGCUUUAUACCCACCUAGAGGAGCCUGUUCUAUAAUCGAUAAACCCCGAUAAACCUUACCACUCUUUGCCAACUCAGCCUAUAUACCGCCAUCUUCAGCGAACCCUAAAAAGGAACAAAAGUAAGCUCAAUUAUCUCCAUAAAAACGUUAGGUCAAGGUGUAGCCUAUAGAGUGGAAAGUAAUGGGCUACAUUUUCUUCUUCAGAACAUACGAAAGCCCUUAUGAAACCCUAAGGGCCAAAGGAGGAUUU
RNAcentral lists this ribosomal RNA (725 nucleotides) under Sylvilagus transitionalis (New England cottontail). RNAcentral describes it as "partial 12S ribosomal RNA". It matches the Rfam family "Bacterial small subunit ribosomal RNA", at positions 302 to 1289 of the family's 1533-position model. The record is from RNAcentral. Lineage: Eukaryota; Metazoa; Chordata; Mammalia; Lagomorpha; Leporidae.